GGGUAGCCAACGCAGUGCCCUCCAGAAGCUAUUAGGCUCCAAGUCCCAUCAGCCGUAGUCAGUGUGUGACCCAUGUGACGAUGCCAUUUGCAAUCUGACACCUGGAGACUGUUAGGUUGGGGGAGGCUGCUUUGCUCCAUUAACUGUUCCCCCAAAUUCUGCUCGCUGAGACUCAAAUAGAUUUAAAUCAUCCAAUUAAUGAAAUGUUUAAUGGUUUACGUCUUCUGGAUUUGUAGACUGGAGGGGGAAAUGAGACUAUAUUGCAUCUUAGGUCUUCUGGUUCAUUGCUGAAAUGGGAAAGAGUGGCAUCAUCAUAAGUAGGGGGCGGGUGGAUGCAGAGGACUCACCAGGGGGUGAAGUCUUACCAGGAAUUGUCACUUCAACUGGAAGGCUUGAGGAAAUUAAUAGAUAGUUAAAUACAAGGAUAUCUUUGAGGUUUAUUUGCAAUCAGAGUCCUGGCAUCUGUGUGAUGCGCCAUUUCCCAGCACACCUGAGGCCUUUCACACUUAGUUUGACAAAUUAAUUUCAAUGCAGACUCCACAAAACUCAUUUAGUCUCUUCACAUCGAGUUCAGUCUUUGCCUCCUCACUUUCCGGCAGGGUAAUGGAGUGUUUUACUUAUCGCUGCCAAAGUCAAACUUUGCAGUUUGCAGACCUGGCUAGACCCCAAGGCAACUUGGAAAAGGGAGAGCACUAAAGGUUGCUUAGACUGACUUCAAAAUGACUGAACAAUUCUUUGCUCCUGUAGCUCAUUUCAAAGUGCUCAUAUCUAUUCAAAAAUGGGCAGGAAAUGUGGGGCACCAACUUUUGUGUAUGGUAGAACUAUGUGCAAAUGGGCUCUUGAAAUCCUCUGCUCUAUUUCUAGAGUCUGGAAGGAACAUUUCACCCAAUUUCUCUAGGGGGCAAGAUAGAUUUCUAAAGGUAUUCACUAUUAUCUGUGGCUUAUCUUUUUCCAUGCUGGCUGGGGCUUGCAGGAGUUGUGCUUCCAAAAAUCUGAAUGGCACCAGGUUGAGGAAGACUCCUGUUCCAAGAAUAGCUAACAUGUGACCCAUAAGCUGCUGCUGGACCCCAUCAUCCCUGACUGUUGGCCAUGCCAGCAGAAGCUGAUGGGUGUUGGUGUUCAACAGGGCUGGCAUUUUGCCACUUGAGGCAAAAUGCCACCUCGCUGUGACCUGUCACCACCACCAGUGGAGAAGUGGCACCGUUACUGGCAUUGAUUUCCAGUGAGAUCUCACCAAAGUCUCAUGAAAUCUGGCACACUCCAUGAGAUCUCAUGGAAGUCCAGUGAAAUCUCCUGAGAUGUCACCAGAAAGCAGCACCGACCCCAGCACCUCUUCUCCAUCAGAGGUGGUGGGGCAGGCAGGGUGCCCAUGAGGUGGUUGCUUCACCCUGCCCCAAUGGGCGGACUGGGCCUGAUGGUCAAUGAGAUAUUGGGGGGGGGCACAGCUUAGCUGUCCCAUGCACCUGUAAUGGCUGUGUGAACUCUGGGUACACCCUUUCUGUGGGUGUCCUGAUUGCACAUAAUCCCAGCAUGUGAGCUGGAGUUCACAAACUGGGAACUCUUUACAGUCAAUGAUGAAUGACAUUCUUCAUACAGGAAGUGAGUGUCUCUUUUUAGGGUGUGGCGGAAAGCAUGUCUCUGCUCCUAAAUCAGCUUGCAAUUAAUUGCUGUACCCAUGAGUAAUGUGCAGCAUACUGCGUAGAGGAACCACCAAUGCAGUUUGAAGCCACUCUUGUACAGCAACUGGUCUAUGUUAAAAGUCCAGCGAAGCUCACCAUACAAAUCUUCUUCCUAGAGAAGUCCUCCCAGCACCAACAUAACAUUGUCAUUGUUUUAAUGCCAGUAAAAGAUUUUGUUUUCGUUUCUCUGGGAAUUUGAAAGUGUUAAUAACGUGAUAUUCCACUGCUAAAAUAAGUUGUUUUAAAUAAUGUUUAUGUAUUUUUUAACAUUUACUUUGGUCAUUAAUUGCUUUUGGGCUUUUUUUGUAGGAACUGAUAAACACACUGAAGAAGCCUAGAUGACCUGCAGAGACCUAGGUUUGCCUACCCAGAAAUUCCAGAGCACAUUUUGAUCCUGAGGGCCAGUGUGGUGUAGUGGUGAGUGUUUUACUUGGACCUGGGAGACCAGGGUUCAAAACCCCAUUUGGCCAUGAAGCUCACUGGGUGGCCUUGGGCCAGUCACUAUCUCUUAGCCUAAGUUACUUUGUUGUUAUGAGAAUAAAAUGGGGAGGAGGAGAACUAUGCCUUAAGCUCUUGGGGGAAGGAGGGAGGAUAUAAAUGCAAUAAAACAAACAAACAAAAAUAGGGUCCGUAUCCAAUGUUAGAUCUACUCAGGGUAGACCCACUGAAAUUAAUGGACAUGACUAAGGGCAGAUCCACACCAUACAUUUAAAGCACACCCAACUCACAUUUAAAGCACACGACUUCCCCCUAAGAAUACUGGGAACAGCAGUUUCUUCCUCACAGAACUUCAGUUCCCAGAAUCCUUAGCAACUUACAUCUCCCAGGAUUCUUUGGGGAAAAGUUAGUUUGAAAUCUGUGUUUACCUACAAGAGAGCCUUACCCCAUAUAUGCCCAUUCAACCAUUGCAAUCGGCAGAACCGGAACUGCUACAGGUGGCAUACAAAAUUGUACCUGUUCCACAUUUAUACACACUCUUUUAAUAUGGCUGCAGCUAUACUUUGAAACUUCCUGCCUAUUGAGAUCAGUCAGGCGCCUUCACUGUACUCUUUUUUUUGGAGCCUGCUAAAACUCUUCUUUUUUUUUUAGACAAGCCUACCCAGGUGUUUAGAAAGUUGAUGUGAGUUUCCAUCUGUUUCUAGUCUAUUGUUAUUUAACUCUUCAAAAGACUUCAAU
Non-coding RNA from Podarcis lilfordi (Lilford's wall lizard), 2855 nucleotides. Lineage: Eukaryota; Metazoa; Chordata; Lepidosauria; Squamata; Lacertidae. The record is from the annotation of a GenBank genome assembly.